UAAUUGAAUUAUUAAUCUGAGUUCCAAAUUGAUAGUUUAGUGUAUUUUUUGAGACUCAAUCAAUUAAUUGGCAAUUCAUUCCUUUUGAGUGGUGCCCCCGAAGACUUUAUUCAUUAAAGUUAUUUAUGAUCAUUUUUGAUAAUUUUGAUAGCUAUAAUUAAUUGAUCACACCUACACAAGUGGGCGCCCCCCUUUUAACCAUUGUAAACCCCAUCUCAUCACGCCCACAAGAUGAGGCCACAAUAACGGUGACAAUACACCAGGAACAUGCUUUCAUGGUUGACACAGCCUCUUAUUCAUUCAUCGGAAAAGCCGGCUCAGAGCUCCCCCUUACCAGUUCAUCAGUCAAGACUAUAGGCUUUUCUGGGAAAGUACAAGUGAUACCCCUAACACAGCCGGUCCCGAUGUUACUUACAGGAAAAACUAUUGUUGCUGUAUUCAGACAGCACGCCAACUAAUUUACUAGGAAGAGACAUUUUAUGUCCUUUAAAGUCCAACAUAAUGUGCACACAUAGACUUUCCUAAAAGUCCAUCAGCAGGAAUGAUGCCAGAACAGACAUCAGGGGGUGCAUCAGGGUCAUGAGGGUAGAAAAACUACGAAAGGGAAAUUAUGGAAAAUCGGAAUAAUACUUAAAGUAUUAUGAAUACAAUAUUUGCCACAGACAAAACUAGUCACAGAGCAGUUGAGUGACUGCGCCUUAGCAGUAGGAGUUGUAGCAGCAUAACAAGAUAAACUGCUACUGCAUAAAACAGUGGAACUUACUUACACUGUAUAUCGGCUCAGUCACUCAUAACCAAACAUUAACCCUAGGCCCAAAAGCUACUUAAUUGGACACUGUUCCUGUAGAUUAACGAUGCAGCGAUGAGGGGGUGGUGAGUGUAACAGUAAACUGCUCAAAAGAUCAAUGUAUAAACGUUAAUUCCGAAUUUCCAAAUCUAUUACCAUAAAAGUAGCCACUAAAUUGGUGAGACUGUAAACAAUGUUGCAGUUUUAUGGUCAUUCAGUACAAUCAGAGAGAUAUCCAUUAUUACCACCACCUACCAACAUUUGUAGGCAGGAGAUUCAUUGCAGUGAGUGGCGAACAAAAGUUUACACAGUGCCAGAAGGAGUGACUUUAGAAUGUACCUACAAUUUAGUGCAGCUGGAAUAUGCAUACUGCAUGCCACUGUAUACCAAAACUAAGAUAGAAGUCAUUACACUAAAAGUAGGGCAGAGCCUACUGUUCAGUACACAUACCACACUAGGAAAGUGUGGGAGGGAAGACAUAGAGCAGGUUUCUAACAGAUAUAAUCUUGGCAGAAGGCCUGGGAUACGAUUGGACAAACAACUCCAGGACCACUGGAGGCAGGAUGGAUGACUAUGCUGGACAAUACUGGACACACUGAACACUACGCAUGUUCUAGGAGAACUCUACUAACACAUUGGACAGCAAAGGACACUGGACAUAACUGGACACCAUAUUACACACUGGACAUUGUUCUGUAUUUACCUCACAUUUAAGAGCAAGGUAUAAUGUAUCCCAGUAGUGGUCCCCUUAGUAAAGAUGUAUUUGUCCCUUAGCUUGCUCAAUUCAGACUAACAAAAAAACAGCCCACCCCAUUCCUAAUGAUUGAACCCACAAUAUGUGUUGUAUAUGUAUUAUUCAAUGUUUGAUGUUUGUUUGGUUUUAUGUUUAUGGUUUUAAUACAGUAUCCAUGUUGGCGAAGUAUAGAUGCACAUGUUUGAACCUGUUUUUGUUUUACACUGUUUAGUCAGUAUUGUUGUCAUGGAAUGCCCUGUUGCUAAUUCGGGACAUCCUAUGGCAAUAACCCAAAGGGGCAGAGAGGGAUGGGACUGGUGAGUCCUAAAGGGCGGAAAUGACGUAGUUAAUUGCAUUUAUGACGUUACUUAUCUUAUUUAUCUUCAUUAGAUGUGCCAUGUGUUAUGAAAUGCCUUGACACAUGUCAUAUAGCUAACUUGUGCACUUAUUAUAUUGAUUGAAUCUACAUAGAAGACUAAUAUUGCAUGCCCAGACAAAUUAUGAUGUUACUUAUAACUGACUGAAGAUAAAAGAAUGUUAAAACAUAUAAAAUGUGACAAAAGCAUGUUAAAGACAUAUAGUGUGUUAUGUGUGAAAAGUGUUAAAGUUUUUAAAAAAUAUGGUCAGGAACUCCUUGGAGACAAUGGUGUAAAAAAAAAAAAAAAACCCCAGCCUAAACUGGCCUAGACUGGUCUGACCAGGCUCAGGUAGGAGGAGCAGGUAAAUUUCCAGGGAAAGUUGGGGAUUUUCAACUCGCCCCAAAUAAGGAAACGUGACACCAUUGUUUCCAGGAGUAACCUGAGUAGUUUUAAGAAAAUUAGGUGGGGAAUUCCCCAGAUAGGAGGGACUUAUAGGCUAUAAAAGACAUGUACAAGGCUCUGAAUGUCAGUUGGUUCCCGGGGACCACUUUAGCUUCUUGUGAAAGAAAUAAACUCUGUGCAUCAAA
Siniperca chuatsi (mandarin fish) is the source of this 2466-nucleotide long non-coding RNA. RefSeq lists it as uncharacterized. The record is from RefSeq and is a predicted model, not a curated record. NCBI's taxonomy places the organism in Eukaryota, Metazoa, Chordata, Actinopteri, Centrarchiformes, Sinipercidae. The transcript has 2 exons.